Molecule: RNA transcript, 2704 nt
Organism: Rhagoletis pomonella (apple maggot)
Lineage: Eukaryota; Metazoa; Arthropoda; Insecta; Diptera; Tephritidae
Exons: 9
Source: RefSeq, a predicted model, not a curated record
UCAGUAGGAUCGCAACAUUCCUAAUUGCGGUGCAACCCUUCCUUUUAUUUUGACGUUUUUUGCGAAUUUUUUGAUCUUGGAAGCAUCGCAUUUUCUAAAAUACCUCGAGUUUAAUACUAAUUAUAGUGUGUAAAUCUAUAAAUAAAAACAGUAGUUCAUGGAGGACAACAAAUCGACUUGAAAUGUCUCGCAAAGCUCAACCUAAUUGCUUGCGGUACUUUUUGUCGGCGCUGCGAUCAGACAGCUCGGGCUCUGCCACAGUGGAGGAGCUUGUACGAGCCCUUGUAGAAGUGGGAAACUAUGAGAAAUCGUUAGCCUCGGAGACUGUGCAAAAUGCCAUACACGAUAAGCUGCUGAAGCCGGCAAUAGCAAACAACGCUGGGUCAUCGCGUGUUCUCCGCCUACUGCGAUUUCCGAAAAUAGACGAAAUAAAGAACGAUGUCUCCCAUGACUUCUAUUGCUUUGAGUGCCACUUGCCUGGCUCAUUGACGCAUUGCCGUCAAUGCCCACGCUCAUUUCAUCGUCUAUGCUUUCGCAAAGAUCCAGAAAGACCCAACUAUCCAGUACCUUCCGGAAAAUUUCAAAAGAAUCGUCCACCAGCAUUCAGCUCUGAUACAGAGACUGACUCUGAUGCAGAAGGCACUGUACACGGAUCUACAUCUUUUGGCUAUGAGAGCGAUGUGCGUGCUUCAUCUUCCUUGCAACAACAGGAUCUAAGUUCAAUAAAUUGUUGGCCGCAGCAACGAUUUCUAGAAGAAGUUACAGUUGACAGCACAUCAUCGCCUGUGCAAGCAGUUUUUCACCGAGCGGAGGGAGUAUCAAGUGCAACCAAUUUAAAUAGCGGCAACAAAAUGGACGUAGAUGAGUUUGAUACAGAGUCCAAAACCAAAGUAGAAGUGGUUUGUUUGGGCGAAGUUCGUCCACCCACGCGGAAACGUCGGCGGACAAUUACCUCAAAUGUGUCGUAUAAAAGUGAAAUGUGCCCAAGUGAAGAAACAGAGCCUGAUUUAGAUUUGUGUACAUGCUGUCGUUUGUUAAAAACAGCAGAGCUGCGCCAUCCACCCAAUAUGCAACCAGACGAACUAUGUUAUCUGAUAGAUUUUACAUUUGAGCGGAAUCGCUCUUGGGUUGCACACGAUGUAUUAAGCUAUUUCGAAUCGACAAAAUUACCAAGCCAAUUGAUAUCGAUUGUUUCGAAAUUGCUCUUUAAAUUCCCUGAUAAGAGUCUUGACGGCAUAUCAGCUAAACUUAAAUCGUUGCAGUAUAAUCUGCUAACUGAAUUUUUUGUGGACAUCCUCGACUUGCAGCAUAAUAUAGGCAUCUUUUUUGGCCCUAAUGGUACGGAUAUGGAGGCUUCGAAAUGGUUGGUGCGUGACAUAGGAUACGAUUUGGCUGAAAUCCGUCGUUGUCCUGACUGUUUUCGUCAUUCACACGAAAAACAUUCAAGUGUUUGGUUUGCUAAGCCAUGCGUUCAACGGCAUGAAUUGGUUUUUGCCAAGCAUAGUGGUUUCUCCUAUUGGCCUGCAAAAGUUAUACGUCUUCUGCCAAAUAAUAAGUAUGAUGUCCGUUUCUUUGGAGGCAAUCAUUCGCGAGCGCUCAUCGAAUCGCGUUUGAUUCGCUCAAUCGACACAGAUAUUAAGUCGUUAAAAAUUGGUAAUAAACCGGCUAUUAAAAAAGCUCUGGAGGAAUUGCGCAUACAUCAGGUUCUGUCCGCAUAUCCGCCUAGUAUAUUUUCUUUUCACGCAAACAAAAGCGAAAUGGAGCAAAUCAUAAGAAACGCUUUGCAGAGAACAGCAGAUCAAUUCAUGGUAAACUCAUCUAAGGGAAGAAAGCUUCCGACACGUCGUCAAACAAUUUGUAAUACAAUGUCAACAGUCAGAAUGGACGCUUUUUUGGAUAUCUCAGGCGAUGUCAUAUCGUUGCCCGGGGCGGAUCCUCCGAUACUAAGUGAUAGCGGAUUUCUUAACGAUACAGAGACUAGAUUAAGGGAAAAAAGAGCUCAUGGCAAUCUAAAGAAGGCACCGAAACGAUUAACACGUUCCGCCAAUACAUUAGUGAGUGCUGCAGAUCUUAAACAGGUACAAGAUCAACUUGAUGAGGCCUUAAAGUUGGUUUCAGCAACACAGAGGAAGAAUGAAAAGUUGCUUGCAAACAUAGAAAAACUUAAGGAAUCGAUAAAGAAACACGAACAUGAAAAGAAAAUUCUUAAGCGAAAGCAAUGGUGUUAUUGGUGUCUCAAUGAAGCGAUAUACUUGUGUUGUUUUCGUGCUGCAUAUUGUUCGCAAGUUUGCCAAUCACGUCACUGGAAGGAUGGACAUAGUAAAGUUUGUAGGAAUCAAACAGAUCAACGCCAAGCUACUUCCACAACAUGAAAUUGCAAUAGAAACGGGUCUUCCAUUGUUAAGUUUUUAAGCAAUUUUUUAUAAUUGCUUUGACCAAGUUGUGCCCAUAUUAAGUUUUGCUGAAUUACUCUUAAACAGAGGACCGAUCGGGUUUAACUCUUCGCACACAUGCGGUAAACAUCACUAAAAAGCCAAGCAAACAAAUCAAAAGAUCACGGAUUGACUUCAAAUAUACAACGUUAUAUACAUAAAUAAUAAUAUGGAUACUAUGUAGAUUUAGUGAAAACAUAUUAAUAAAAAGAAAUGUGAAUUGAAUUUAAAAAAUAAAGAGGUUGAUAAACGACAAAAAGAACGCAUGCAAA